Molecule: ribosomal RNA, 245 nt
Filed under: uncultured bacterium
Lineage: Bacteria
Description: partial 16S ribosomal RNA
Rfam family: Bacterial small subunit ribosomal RNA
Source: RNAcentral
GAUCCUGGCUCAGAGCGAACGCUGGCGGCAGGCCUAAUACAUGCAAGUCGAGCGCACCUUCGGUGAGCGGCGGACGGGUGAGUAACGCGUGGGAACGUGCCCUAUGGUGCGGAACAACUGAGGGAAACUUCAGCUAAUACCGCAUGUGCCCUAAGGGGGAAAGAUUUAUCGCCAUAGGAGCGGCCCGCGUUGGAUUAGUUAGUUGGUGGGGUAAUGGCUCACCAAGACUUCGAUCCAUAGCUGGU